UGGGGAAUAUUGCACAAUGGGCGGAAGCCUGAUGCAGCGACGCCGCGUGGGGGAUGAAGGCCUUCGGGUUGUAAACUCCUUUCGACAGGGACGAAGCUUUUGUGACGGUACCUGUAUAAGAAGCACCGGCUAACUACGUGCCAGCAGCCGCGGUAAUACGUAGGGUGCGAGCGUUGUCCGGAAUUACUGGGCGUAAAGAGCUCGUAAGUGGUUUGUCGCGUCGUCUGUGAAAUUCCGGGGCUUAACUCCGGGCGUGCAGGCGAUACGGGCUGACUUGAGUGCUGUAGGGGAGACUGGAAUUCCUGGUGUAGCGGUGAAAUGCGCAGAUAUCAGGAGGAACACCGAUGGCGAAGGCAGGUCUCUGGGCAGUAACUGACGCUGAGGAGCGAAAGCAUGGGUAGCGAACAGG
Molecule: ribosomal RNA, 409 nt
Filed under: Actinomycetes bacterium
Lineage: Bacteria; Bacillati; Actinomycetota; Actinomycetes
Description: Actinobacteria bacterium partial 16S ribosomal RNA
Rfam family: Bacterial small subunit ribosomal RNA
Source: RNAcentral